AUGCCCCGAGCUUCCAACCCAAGCAAACCCCACGCCACCCCCACCACCCGACGGCUCGCGACGCGGAGCUUCGUCCCACUCCCAGCCGAGGCCCCCGCCGCCGUGCUCCCGCACCGGGCCCCGACCCUCCCCCACUGUCCCGCUCCAUUGCGACGGCGGCACCCGCCGCCGCCGCGUCCCAUGGCCACCCUCCUCUCCCACACCCUACCCACGCUGCUGCUGCUGCUGCUGCUGCUCGUCACGGACGUUCGGGCGUCUGGUGCCGGAGGCGGCGGCGAGCGGGGGGCCCUGCUCAAGUUCAAGGGGGCCGUGACCGCCGACCCGGGCGGGCUCCUCCGCGACUGGUCCCCGUCGUCGGCCGACCACUGCCUCUGGCCGGGCGUGUCCUGCGGCGCGUCCGGCGAGGUCGUGGCGCUCAACGUCUCCUCCUCCCCCGGCCGCCGCCUGGCGGGCGCGCUCUCCCCGUCCGUCGCGGCGCUGCGCGGCCUCCGCGUGCUCGCGCUCCCCUCCCACGCGCUCUCGGGCCCGCUCCCCUCCGCGAUCUGGUCGCUGCGCCGCCUCCUCGUGCUCGACCUCUCCGGCAACCGCCUCCAGGGCGAGAUCCCGCCGUCGCUCGCCUGCUCCGCGCUGCAGACGCUGGACCUCGCCUACAACCAGCUCAACGGCUCCGUGCCCGCCGCGCUCGGCUCGCUGUUGGUGCUCCGGCGCCUCUCGCUCGCCUCCAACCGCCUGGGCGGCGCCAUCCCCGACGAACUGGGCGGUGCCGGCUGCCGCAGCCUGCAGUUCCUCGAUCUCUCUGGGAACCUCCUCGUCGGCGGCAUCCCCCGGGGUUUGGGGAACUGCAGCAAGCUGGAGGCGCUCUUGCUCUCCUCCAACCUGCUGGAUGACGUCAUCCCGCCGGAGAUUGGACGCCUCAGCAGUUUGCGGGCUUUGGAUGUGUCGAGGAACAGUCUGAGCGGCCCUGUGCCAGCGGAGCUCGGUGGUUGUGUUGAACUUUCAGUGCUAGUCUUGUCCAAUCCUUAUGCGCUGGUUGGUGGUUUGAAUGCAUCGGAUGCAGUCAUGGCUACGGAUUUGACGAGUUGCCAUAGUUUUGCCCAGAACAAUUUUACUGGAACAGUGACAUCCUUGCCGAUUGCUGCCGAGAAGCUGGGAAUGCAGGGGUCCUAUGCUUUCCUUGCUGAUGGGAAUAAUCUUGUUGGUGAGUUGCAACCUGGCCUAUUCAAUAAGUGCAACAGUUCAAGGGGUUUCAUGGUGGACGUUAGCAACAACCUGAUAACAGGAGGUAUCCCUGUAGAGAUUGGAUCAUUGUGCAGUUCUCUUGUUGUUCUUGGUGUUGCUGGUAACCGCCUUUCUGGUUUGAUACCAACAAGUAUUGGACAGUUGAAUUAUCUUAUCAGCUUGGAUUUGAGUAGGAACCAGCUUGGUGGUGAAAUUCCGACUUCUGUCAAGAACUUACCACAUUUGGAGCUACUUUCUUUGGGUCAUAACCUUCUAAAUGGAACUAUUCCAAAUGAUUUUAAUCAGCUGCAGUCUCUGAAGGUUUUGGACCUGUCCUCAAACCGCCUCUCCGGAGAGAUCCCUCAUGCACUCGCAGACUUGACAAAUCUCACUGCCCUCCUCCUUGAUAAUAAUAAACUUACUGGGAAGAUACCGGCCGAAUUUGCCAAUGCGGCAUCUCUUACCACGUUUAACAUGUCAUUCAACAAUUUGUCUGGUCCAGUGCCAACAAAUAGCAGUGCAGUUGGAUGUGACAGCAUUAUUGGAAAUCCUUUGCUACAAUCUUGUCACACGUAUACCCUGGCUGUUCCCUCCGCUGGUCAGCAGGGUCGUGAUCUGAAUUCAUAUGACAACGACACAGCGCCUGUGGAUCCACAAAACCAAGGAGGAAGCAGUUCAUUCAAUGCGAUCGAAAUAGCUUCGAUAACAUCUGCAACAGCCAUUGUUUCAGUCCUUCUUGCUCUGAUUGUACUAUUUAUUUACACAAGAAAGUGCGCACCCUUUAUGUCAGCUCGAUCAUCUGGAAGAAGGGAAGUUAUAAUCUUCCAAGAAAUCGGAGUGCCGAUCACUUAUGAGACUGUUGUUCGAGCUACUGGAACUUUCAACGCAAGCAAUUGCAUUGGAAGUGGGGGUUUUGGAGCCACCUACAAAGCUGAAAUUUCACCUGGAGUCUUGGUAGCUAUAAAGAGGCUUUCUGUUGGGAGAUUCCAGGGAUUGGAACAGUUCCAUGCCGAGAUCAAAACUCUUGGGAGAUUAAGACAUCCUAAUCUUGUUACCUUGGUAGGCUACCAUCUUGGUGAAUCUGAAAUGUUUCUCAUAUAUAACUACUUGCCUGGAGGAAAUCUUGAGAGAUUCAUACAAGAGAGAUCAAAGAGACCAGUAGAGUGGAAGAGGCUGCACAAGAUUGCUCUGGACAUUGCAAAAGCACUCGCUUAUCUGCAUGACACUUGUGUUCCUAGGAUCCUUCAUCGUGACGUGAAACCAAACAAUAUUUUGUUGGACACUAACCAUAAUGCUUACCUCUCAGACUUUGGACUGGCAAGGCUCUUGGGAAAUUCGGAAACCCAUGCAACCACUGGCGUAGCUGGAACUUUUGGAUAUGUUGCUCCAGAAUAUGCUAUGACAUGCCGUGUUUCAGAUAAAGCCGAUGUUUAUAGCUAUGGUGUUGUACUGAUGGAGCUAAUAUCAGACAAGAAGGCCUUGGAUCCAUCAUUUUCUCCUUAUGGUAAUGGGUUUAACAUAGUUGCCUGGGCAUGCAUGCUGCUCCGUCAAGGCCGUGCUCGUGAUUUCUUCGUCGAUGGAUUGUGGGAUGUGGGCCCGCAUGAUGACUUGGUAGAGGUGUUGCAUUUAGCAGUGAUGUGCACCGUUGAAUCGCUCUCUAUACGACCAACUAUGAAGCUAGUUGUUCAACGACUAAAGCAACUCCAGCCUCCAAUACGUGAACACCGAUGA
RNAcentral lists this ribosomal RNA (2949 nucleotides) under Triticum aestivum (bread wheat). Its description in RNAcentral is "partial small subunit ribosomal RNA". The record is from RNAcentral. Lineage: Eukaryota; Viridiplantae; Streptophyta; Magnoliopsida; Poales; Poaceae.